UGCAAGUCGAGCGGUAGCAGAUCUAGCUUGCUAGAUGCUGACGAGCGGCGGACGGGUGAGUAACGCGUAGGAACCUGCCCAGUAGUGGGGGAUAGCCCGGGGAAACUCGGAUUAAUACCGCAUACGCUCUACGGAGGAAAGAGGGGGCUUCGGCUCUCGCUAUUGGAUGGGCCUGCGUGAGAUUAGCUAGUUGGUGAGGUAAUGGCUCACCAAGGCGACGAUCUCUAGCUGGUCUGAGAGGAUGAUCAGCCACACUGGGACUGAGACACGGCCCAGACUCCUACGGGAGGCAGCAGUGGGGAAUAUUGCACAAUGGGCGCAAGCCUGAUGCAGCCAUGCCGCGUGUGUGAAGAAGGCUUUCGGGUUGUAAAGCACUUUCAGUGGGGAGGAAGGCCUCGUAGUUAAUAGCUGCGAGGAUUGACGUUACCCACAGAAGAAGCACCGGCUAACUCCGUG
RNAcentral lists this ribosomal RNA (456 nucleotides) under uncultured bacterium. RNAcentral's name for it is "bacterial SSU rRNA". It matches the Rfam family "Bacterial small subunit ribosomal RNA", at positions 56 to 507 of the family's 1533-position model. The record is from RNAcentral.